RNAcentral lists this unclassified non-coding RNA (819 nucleotides) under Hevea brasiliensis (rubber tree). Lineage: Eukaryota; Viridiplantae; Streptophyta; Magnoliopsida; Malpighiales; Euphorbiaceae. The record is from RNAcentral.
CUCAGGCUCUGAUUUUGCUUUCAUUAACUGAAUUGAGUCCCUUUCAAUCCCACCAUCAACUGCAAUAUCUUUACCAGACUGAUUUGCAGCAUUCACUGAAUCUGACUUCGAUUUCCUCAAUUGGGCACCAGAUUCAACAAGUUCUUUUAUAUCAGAUCUUGGCUUUCUUAUCUGAACUGGGCUUUUCGCAUUUCCAUCAGCAGAAACACCGAUCUCCUCGGAUCUUCCUUUCUUGCCCUGAAUUGGGCUUUUAUCAAUUCCAUCCACAGAAACACUAAGCUCUUUGAUUCCUUCAGACCUUCCUCUUCUUGCUGGAAUUGAGCUUUUCUUGAUUCCAUCAGCAGAAACAAUCAACUCUCUACACUGUUCCUCACAAUUCUUGAUUGGUAGAGGCUCAGUUUUCCCUUUAGCUAUCUGAAUUGGGCCAUCAAAACUCUCAGACUUCCAAGUCUUUCUCUUGGCAGUGGCAGCCACUGAAGUACCAGAUUGGCCUCUCUUAAGAAAUUUCCUUGAAGUAUCAGCAGUCUCAUCAUGGUUUCCAUCUCCAUUGAAAACCUUGAUACCACCUUUGACUUCAUCAAGCUUCAUUCUACUCUCCCAGACAGAGCCUGCAACCACACUAGUUUUAACCCCAGCUCUUCUCCUGCUGACAUCCAUUGUAUCCUUUUUAAUCUAGGUACUCUCUGUCCGCUAUCUUUCUUUGUGGUAAUUGAGUACUACUGGGACAUAGGUGUUAAUAACACUGGAUAAGAGUCUUUAAGCGGAAGAAAUGGCGUUUGGUGAUGAUGUGAGAGACACUUGAGGAAUCCCUUCUGCUUU